Molecule: ribosomal RNA, 37 nt
Filed under: Hetaerina sempronia
Lineage: Eukaryota; Metazoa; Arthropoda; Insecta; Odonata; Calopterygidae
Description: partial 28S ribosomal RNA
Source: RNAcentral
UUUUGAUUUGGGCNGACCUCAGAGCAGGUGAGACCAC